Molecule: transfer RNA, 63 nt
Filed under: Galerucinae sp. 1 ACP-2013
Lineage: Eukaryota; Metazoa; Arthropoda; Insecta; Coleoptera; Chrysomelidae
Description: tRNA-Cys
Source: RNAcentral
GCCUUGUAUUCAACCAUGAUUCUAAAUUGCAAAUUUAGAGGUAAAGUCUAAUUUUAAGGCUUA